This 365-nucleotide ribosomal RNA is filed under the name uncultured Bacteroidales bacterium. RNAcentral's name for it is "bacterial SSU rRNA". It matches the Rfam family "Bacterial small subunit ribosomal RNA", at positions 1019 to 1382 of the family's 1533-position model. The record is from RNAcentral. Lineage: Bacteria; Pseudomonadati; Bacteroidota; Bacteroidia; Bacteroidales.
GCAAUAGACUUCAUACGAGGUGCUGCAUGGCUGUCGUCAGCUCGUGCCGUGAGGUGUUAGGUUAAGUCCUGCAACGAGCGCAACCCCUGUUUCCAGUUGCCAUCAAGUAAAGUUGGGGGACUCUGGAGAGACUGCCUGCGCAAGCAGAGAGGAAGGUGGGGAUGACGUCAAGUCAGCACGGCCCUUACGUCCAGGGCUACACACGUGCUACAAUGGCCGGUACAGAGGGCAGCGACCUGGUGACAGGUAGCGAAUCUCCAAAGCCGGUCUCAGUUCGGAUCGGAGUCUGCAACUCGACUCCGUGAAGCUGGAUUCGCUAGUAAUCGGAUAUCAGCAAUGAUCCGGUGAAUACGUUCCCGGGCCUU